GAAUUCGCCCUUAGAGUUUGCUUCUGGGUCAGGAUGAACGCUGGCGGCGCGCCUAACACAUGCAAGUCGAACGGAGAUUAUUAUGAAGUACCUUCGGGUGCGGAUGAUGAUCUUAGUGGCGAACGGGUGAGUAACACGUGAAGAACCUGCCUUUCAGAGGGGGAUAACACUUAGAAAUAGGUGCUAAUACCGCAUAAGACCACAAUGCCACAUGGCGAAGGGUCAUAGGAGAAAUCCGCUGAGAGAUGGCUUCGCGCCCGAUUAGGCAGUUGGUGAGGUAACGGCCCACCAAACCUACGAUCGGUAGCCGGACUGAGAGGUCGAUCGGCCACAUUGGGACUGAGACACGGCCCAGACUCCUACGGGAGGCAGCAGUGGGGGAUAUUGCACAAUGGGGGAAACCCUGAUGCAGCGACGCCGCGUGAGGGAAGAAGGUUUUCGGAUUGUAAACCUCUGUCUUCGGGGACGAUAAUGACGGUACCCGAGGAGGAAGCCACGGCUAACUACGUGCCAGCAGCCGCGGUAAAACGUAGGUGGCAAGCGUUAUCCGGAAUUACUGGGUGUAAAGGGAGCGCAGGUGGGAUGGUAAGUCAAAUGUGAAAUGUAUGGGCUCAACCCAUAAAUUGCGUUUGAUACUAUUGUUCUUGAGUGGAGUAGAGGCAGGCGGAAUUCCCGGUGUAGCGGUGGAAUGCGUAGAUAUCGGGAGGAAUACCAGUGGCGAAGGCGGCCUGCUGGGCUCUAACUGACACUGAGGCUCGAAAGCGUGGGUAGCAAACAGGAUUAGAUACCCUGGUAGUCCACGCUGUAAACGAUGAU
RNAcentral lists this ribosomal RNA (816 nucleotides) under uncultured bacterium. RNAcentral describes it as "bacterial SSU rRNA". It matches the Rfam family "Bacterial small subunit ribosomal RNA", at positions 1 to 813 of the family's 1533-position model. The record is from RNAcentral.